This 1341-nucleotide ribosomal RNA is filed under the name uncultured bacterium. RNAcentral's name for it is "partial 16S ribosomal RNA". It matches the Rfam family "Bacterial small subunit ribosomal RNA", at positions 28 to 1381 of the family's 1533-position model. The record is from RNAcentral.
GACGAACGCUGGCGGCGUGCUUAACACAUGCAAGUCGAACGGUAAGGCUCCAGCUUGCUGGGGUACACGAGUGGCGAACGGGUGAGUAACACGUGGGUGACCUGCCCUGCACUUCGGGAUAAGCCUGGGAAACUGGGUCUAAUACCGGAUAGGACCGCACCGUGAGGGUGUGGUGGAAAGUUUUUUCGGUGUGGGAUGGGCCCGCGGCCUAUCAGCUUGUUGGUGGGGUAAUGGCCUACCAAGGCGGCGACGGGUAGCCGGCCUGAGAGGGUGGACGGCCACAUUGGGACUGAGACACGGCCCAGACUCCUACGGGAGGCAGCAGUGGGGAAUAUUGCACAAUGGGCGGAAGCCUGAUGCAGCGACGCCGCGUGGGGGAUGACGGCCUUCGGGUUGUAAACUCCUUUCACCAUCGACGAAGGGUUUCUGACGGUAGAUGGAGAAGAAGCACCGGCUAACUACGUGCCAGCAGCCGCGGUAAUACGUAGGGUGCGAGCGUUGUCCGGAAUUACUGGGCGUAAAGAGCUCGUAGGUGGUUUGUCGCGUCGUCUGUGAAAUUCCGGGGCUUAACUCCGGGCGUGCAGGCGAUACGGGCAUAACUUGAGUACUGUAGGGGAGACUGGAAUUCCUGGUGUAGCGGUGAAAUGCGCAGAUAUCAGGAGGAACACCGGUGGCGAAGGCGGGUCUCUGGGCAGUAACUGACGCUGAGGAGCGAAAGCAUGGGGAGCGAACAGGAUUAGAUACCCUGGUAGUCCAUGCCGUAAACGGUGGGCGCUAGGUGUGGGUUUCCUUCCACGGGAUCCGUGCCGUAGCUAACGCAUUAAGCGCCCCGCCUGGGGAGUACGGCCGCAAGGCUAAAACUCAAAGGAAUUGACGGGGGCCCGCACAAGCGGCGGAGCAUGUGGAUUAAUUCGAUGCAACGCGAAGAACCUUACCUGGGCUUGACAUAUACAGGAUCGCGCCAGAGAUGGUGUUUCCCUUGUGGCUUGUAUACAGGUGGUGCAUGGUUGUCGUCAGCUCGUGUCGUGAGAUGUUGGGUUAAGUCCCGCAACGAGCGCAACCCUUGUCUUAUGUUGCCAGCACGUUGUGGUGGGGACUCGUAAGAAACUGCCGGGGUUAACUCGGAGGAAGGUGGGGAUGACGUCAAAUCAUCAUGCCCCUUAUGUCCAGGGCUUCACACAUGCUACAAUGGUCGGUACAGUGGGUUGCCAGUCCGUGAGGGCGAGCUAAUCUCGCAAAGCCGGUCUCAGUUCGGAUCGGGGUCUGCAACUCGACCCCGUGAAGUCGGAGUCGCUAGUAAUCGCAGAUCAGCAACGCUGCGGUGAAUACGUUCCCGGGCCU